GGGGAAUAUUGCACAAUGGGCGCAAGCCUGAUGCAGCAACGCCGCGUGAGGGACGACGGCCUUCGGGUUGUAAACCUCUUUUAGCAGGGAAGAAGCGAAAGUGACGGUACCUGCAGAAAAAGCACCGGCUAACUACGUGCCAGCAGCCGCGGUAAUACGUAGGGUGCAAGCGUUAUCCGGAAUUAUUGGGCGUAAAGAGCUCGUAGGCGGUUUGUCGCGUCUGCUGUGAAAACCCGAGGCUCAACCUCGGGCCUGCAGUGGGUACGGGCAGACUAGAGUGCGGUAGGGGAGAUUGGAAUUCCUGGUGUAGCGGUGGAAUGCGCAGAUAUCAGGAGGAACACCGAUGGCGAAGGCAGAUCUCUGGGCUAUAACUGACGCUCAUGCACGAAAGCGUGGGGAGCAAA
This 404-nucleotide ribosomal RNA is filed under the name uncultured bacterium. RNAcentral describes it as "bacterial SSU rRNA". It matches the Rfam family "Bacterial small subunit ribosomal RNA", at positions 356 to 772 of the family's 1533-position model. The record is from RNAcentral.